ACAUACGACCAUAGGGUGUAGAAAAUAGGCCUUCCUGUCUGCUCAGCCGUACUCAAGCCACACGCCGGUGAGUUAGUAGUUGGGUGGGUGACCACCAGCGAAUCCUCACUGUUGUAUGUU
RNAcentral lists this ribosomal RNA (120 nucleotides) under Aspergillus glaucus CBS 516.65. Lineage: Eukaryota; Fungi; Ascomycota; Eurotiomycetes; Eurotiales; Aspergillaceae. The record is from RNAcentral.